RNAcentral lists this non-coding RNA (26 nucleotides) under Mus musculus (house mouse). The record is from RNAcentral. Lineage: Eukaryota; Metazoa; Chordata; Mammalia; Rodentia; Muridae.
UAAAAGCUGAGGACCUUAUUUUUUAA